GAUGAACGCUGGCGGCGUGCCUAAUACAUGCAAGUCGAGCGGUAAGGCUUUCACAGUUUGCUGGAUCGAGAGAAAUUUUUCUCUCAUAAGAUCGAGCGAAGUGUGAAAGUACACGAGCGGCGGACGGCUGAGUAAAGCGUAGGAACGUACCCAAAGUGAGGAAUAACUGCCCGAAAGGGUAGCUAAUGCCGCAUGUGCUCUUCGGAGGAAAGCCUUCGGGCGCUGGGAGCGGCCUACGUCCGAUUAGCUUGUUGGUGAGGUAAUAGCUCACCAAGGCGACGAUCGGGUAGCUGGUCUCAGGAGGAUGAUCAGCCAGACUGGGACUGAGACACGG
RNAcentral lists this ribosomal RNA (334 nucleotides) under uncultured bacterium. Its description in RNAcentral is "bacterial SSU rRNA". It matches the Rfam family "Bacterial small subunit ribosomal RNA", at positions 28 to 329 of the family's 1533-position model. The record is from RNAcentral.